CAGUAGCCACGGUAAUACAGAGGGUGCGAGCGUUAAUCGGAUUUACUGGGCGUAAAGCGUGCGUAGGCGGCUUCUUAAGUCGGCUGUGAAAUCCCAGAGCUCAACUUUGGACUUGCAUUCGAUACUGGCAAGCUAGAGUAUGGGAGAGGAUGGUAGAAUUCCAGGUGUAGCGGUGAAAUGCGUAGAGAUCUGGAGGAAUACCGACGGCGAAGGCAGUCAGCUGGCCUAAUACUGACGCUGAGGUACGAAAGCAUGGGGAGCAAACGGGAUUAGAUACCCGGGUAGUCCCUGUCUCUUAUAC
Molecule: ribosomal RNA, 301 nt
Filed under: uncultured bacterium
Lineage: Bacteria
Description: partial 16S ribosomal RNA
Rfam family: Bacterial small subunit ribosomal RNA
Source: RNAcentral